CUGCUCAGGUAUUAAUCCACACUGGAAAACAUCAUCCUAAUCCCACAGGAAAAAAAGGAUACCCCAAACAGUGACCUGCUGCAGUUUUGUCUGAAAGUUGUCUGAUGACAAGGAACAAGCUUUCAUUUAUCCCAAGUGUAGAACAGGAAGGCAAUAUGUGUAAAGGGUUUCAGACUUGAGUGUGUUUGCCCGUUCAAGCAUUGUGAAGCCCGCUGGAGGACAUCUUUGUGAAUGGAGACAUCUGAUGAAUGAACGGGUCUGGUGAACAAUCUGCACUCUGCAAGCAUAAAGCAUUGGGUCUUGUUGAGAGAGAUUCACAAAUCUACACAUCUCUGACUCUUAAGUCACCAUAGAAACCCUCUAGCCUGCAGAUGCAGACUUGGACGAGUGUGACACUUCCUGUGUGUGUUUCAAUGCUUGAGGAGAACUGUGAGUUCAAUGUAUCCAA
Long non-coding RNA from Puntigrus tetrazona (Sumatra barb), 448 nucleotides. RefSeq lists it as uncharacterized. The record is from RefSeq and is a predicted model, not a curated record. NCBI's taxonomy places the organism in Eukaryota, Metazoa, Chordata, Actinopteri, Cypriniformes, Cyprinidae. The transcript is spliced from 3 exons.